UACAAAAAUACCAGCUAAAAGGGUAAUUCUCAAAAUUCAAAGGGUAAUUUUGUCCGUUUAAUUUGGCACGGAUUGCUGGGUUAUACGCGUGCAUCUCUCACUCUUCCUGUUUUGUCCUUGUCAACCCUAGCAGCCACAACACCAUCUCUGGAAUAUCAUCGGCUUCUGCUUCCUAAAACCAAACCCACUGUUUCUGUCCUUGUCAACCCCAGCAGCCACAACACCAUAUUUGGAAUAGCAUCGGCUCUUGUUUCCUAAAACCAAACCCACAAACACUGGCCUCCAUUUUUGUAACUCGAGAGUUUCGGUGAGACGAUAAUCUUUCAUCUUC
This 331-nucleotide long non-coding RNA is filed under the name Malus domestica (apple). RNAcentral describes it as "long non-coding RNA (MDOM_LNC017194)". The record is from RNAcentral. Lineage: Eukaryota; Viridiplantae; Streptophyta; Magnoliopsida; Rosales; Rosaceae.